UACGGGGGGGGCAAGCGUUGUUCGGAAUUACUGGGCGUAAAGGGCUCGUAGGUGGCCAACUAAGUCAGACGUGAAAUCCCUCGGCUUAACCGGAGAACUGCGUCUGAUACUGGUUGGCUUGAGAUUGGGAGAGGGACGCGGAAUUCCAGGUGUAGCGGUGAAAUGCGUAGAUAUCUGGAGGAACACCGGUGGCGAAGGCGGCGUCCUGGACCAACACUGACACUGAGGAGCGAAAGCCAGGGGAGCAAACGGG
RNAcentral lists this ribosomal RNA (253 nucleotides) under uncultured bacterium. RNAcentral's name for it is "partial 16S ribosomal RNA". It matches the Rfam family "Bacterial small subunit ribosomal RNA", at positions 524 to 776 of the family's 1533-position model. The record is from RNAcentral.